CUGAAAUUCGCCUUCAUGAAGCCGGAAUUGCUAGUAAUGGCAGGUCAGCAUACUGCCGUGAAUACGUUCCCGGGCCUUGUACACACCGCCCGUCACACCAUGAGAGUUGGGGAUACCCGAAGCCUGUGAGCUAACUUAACGGAGGCAGCAGUCGAAGGUAGAAUCAAUGAUUGGGGUGAAGUCGUAACAAGGUAAC
Molecule: ribosomal RNA, 196 nt
Filed under: uncultured bacterium
Lineage: Bacteria
Description: partial 16S ribosomal RNA
Rfam family: Bacterial small subunit ribosomal RNA
Source: RNAcentral